AGCAAAUCUCGCACUUGUGUGGGAGCAUUUAUUAGACUCAACCAACUGGCUACGGCCAUUUGAUGAAAUCCUAAUAACUGAGCAUAUCGAACAUUAAUUUGUCGAUAGUCCGAUCGAAUUUCUGCCCUAUCAACUAGUUGGUGAGGUAGUGGCUCACCAAGGUCGUGACGGGUAACGGGGGAUCAGGGUUCGAUUCCGGAGAGGGAGCCUGAGAAACGGCUACCACAUCUAAGGAAGGCAGCAGGCGCGCAAAUUACCCAAUCCAGACUUUGGGAGGUAGUGACGAGAAAUACCGGAGUAGACCGUUUAUUGGUUCACUAUCGGAAUGAACGUAAUCUAAUACCUCCGAUGANUUAGCUAUUGGANGGCAAUUCUGGUGCCAGCAGCCGCGGUAAUUCCAGCUCCAAUAGUGUUAUAUCAAAAUUGUUGCGGUUAAANNNNNNNNNNGAUUAAAAGGGGAAANUUGGGGGGGUUAAUAANUUGGUGGGGGAGGGGNGGAANUCCUUAGNACCCCCCAAAGACUAAUUAAUGCGGAAGCCAUUUCGCCAAGAGUGUUUUCAUUAAUCAAGAACGAAAGUUGGAGGUUCGAAGACGAUCAGAUACCGUCCUAGUUCCAUACAGUAAACUAUGCCAACAUGGGAUUAGCCCGGUUAAAUCCAGGUUGGGCCCUCAGUGAAAACAAGUGUUUUGGCUNUGGGGAGAGUGCGCGCGCAAGCGGUAAAUUUAAAGAAAUUGACGGAAUGGCACCACCAGGAGUGGAGCCUGCGGCUUAAUUUGAUUCAACACGGGGAAACUCACCAGGUCCAGACAUUGAUAGGAUUGACAGACUGAGAGAUCUUUUCAUGAUUUGAUGAUUGGUGGUGCAUGGCCGU
RNAcentral lists this ribosomal RNA (872 nucleotides) under Kudoa ciliatae. Its description in RNAcentral is "partial 18S ribosomal RNA". It matches the Rfam family "Eukaryotic small subunit ribosomal RNA", at positions 174 to 1291 of the family's 1831-position model. Lineage: Eukaryota; Metazoa; Cnidaria; Myxozoa; Multivalvulida; Kudoidae. The record is from RNAcentral.